GGAGAGAUGGCAGAGCGGUCUAAUGCACCACCUUGGAAAGGUGGCGUGCCUGAAAGGGUACCGGGAGUUCGAAUCUCCCUCUCUCCG
RNAcentral lists this transfer RNA (87 nucleotides) under bacterium. RNAcentral describes it as "tRNA-Ser". It matches the Rfam family "tRNA". From Rfam's summary of the family: Transfer RNA (tRNA) molecules are approximately 80 nucleotides in length. The record is from RNAcentral.